RNAcentral lists this ribosomal RNA (440 nucleotides) under uncultured bacterium. RNAcentral's name for it is "partial 16S ribosomal RNA". It matches the Rfam family "Bacterial small subunit ribosomal RNA", at positions 338 to 795 of the family's 1533-position model. The record is from RNAcentral.
CCUACGGGUGGCAGCAGUGGGGGAUAUUGCACAAUGGGGGGAACCCUGAUGCAGCGACGCCGCGUGGGGGAAGAAGCGCCUCGGCGCGUAAAGCCCUGUCAGCAGGGGAGAAAAUGACGGUACCUGAAGAAGAAGCCCCGGCUAACUACGUGCCAGCAGCGGCGGUAAUACGGAGGGGGCAAGCGUUAUCCGGAUUUACUGGGUGUAAAGGGGGCGCAGACGGCGAUGCAAGCAAGGAGUGAAAGCCCGGGGCUCAACCCCGGGACUGCUGGUGGAACUGAGUGGAUGGAGGGCAGGAGGGGCAGGCGGAAUUCGUGGUGUAGCGGUGAAAUGCGUAGAGAUCAGGAGGAACACCGGUGGCGAAGGCGGCCUGCUGGACUGCAACUGACGUUGAGGCCCGAAAGCGUGGGGAGCAAACAGGAUUAGAUACCCGAGUAGUC